RNAcentral lists this ribosomal RNA (460 nucleotides) under uncultured bacterium. RNAcentral's name for it is "partial 16S ribosomal RNA". It matches the Rfam family "Bacterial small subunit ribosomal RNA", at positions 338 to 795 of the family's 1533-position model. The record is from RNAcentral.
CCUACGGGAGGCAGCAGUGAGGAAUAUUGGUCAAUGGGCGAGAGCCUGAACCAGCCAAGUCGCGUGAAGGAUGACGGCCCUACGGGUUGUAAACUUCUUUUGUCAGGGAGCAAUUGAGUCCACGUGUGGUCUUAGCGAGAGUACCUGAAGAAAAAGCAUCGGCUAACUACGUGCCAGCAGCCGCGGUAAUACGGUGGAUGCGAGCGUUAUCCGGAUUUAUUGGGUUUAAAGGGUGCGUAGGCGGAAUAUCAAGUCAGCGGUAAAAAUGCGGGGCUAACCCCCGUCGUGCCGUUGAAACUGAUGGUAUUGAGUGGGCGAGAAGUAUGCGGAAUGCGUGGUGUAGCGGUGAAAUGCAUAGAGAUCACGAAGAACUCCGGUUGCGAAGGCAGCAUACCGGCGCACAACUGACGCUGAGGCACGAAAGCGUGGGUAUCGAACAGGAUUAGAUACCCUUGUAGUC